This 254-nucleotide ribosomal RNA is filed under the name uncultured prokaryote. RNAcentral's name for it is "partial 16S ribosomal RNA". It matches the Rfam family "Bacterial small subunit ribosomal RNA", at positions 525 to 777 of the family's 1533-position model. The record is from RNAcentral.
ACGUAGGGUGCAAGCGUUGUCCGGAUUCAUUGGGCGUAAAGGGCUAGUAGGCGGCUUAGCAAGUCGGGUGUGAAAUUUCCAGGCUUAACCUGGAACCGCCAUCCGAUACUGCUAUGGCUAGAGUCUGGUAGGGGACCACGGAAUACCUGGUGUAGCGGUGAAAUGCGCAGAUAUCAGGUGGAACACCGAUGGCGAAGGCAGUGGUCUGGGCCGGCACUGACGCUGAAUAGCGAAAGCGUGGGUAGCGAACAGGA